AGUUCGGAUCGCAGGCUGCAACCCGCCUGCGUGAAGUUGGAAUCGCUAGUAAUCGCGGAUCAGCAUGCCGUGGUGAAUACGUUCCCGGGCCUUGUACACACCGCCCGUCGCACCAUGAGAGUCGGGAACACCCGAAGUCCGUAGCCUAACCGCAAGGGGGCGCGGCCGAAGGUGGGUUCGAUAAUUGGGGUGAAGUCGUAACAAGGUAUC
This 210-nucleotide ribosomal RNA is filed under the name uncultured bacterium. RNAcentral describes it as "partial 16S ribosomal RNA". It matches the Rfam family "Bacterial small subunit ribosomal RNA", at positions 1290 to 1500 of the family's 1533-position model. The record is from RNAcentral.